CCCAAACUCCUACGGGAGGCUGCAGUAGGAAUCUUCCACAAUGGGCGAAAGCCUGAUGGAGCAACGCCGCGUGUGUGAUGAAGGCUUUCGGGUCGUAAAGCACUGUUGUAUGGGAAGAAAAGUUAAGGUAGGGAAUGACCUUAGCCUGACGGUACCAUACCAGAAAGGGACGGCUAAAUACGUGCCAGCAGCCGCGGUAAUACGUAUGUCCCGAGCGUUAUCCGGAUUUAUUGGGCGUAAAGCGAGCGCAGACGGUUGGUUAAGUCUGAUGUGAAAGCCCGGAGCUCAACUCCGGAAAGGCAUUGGAAACUGGUUAACUUGAGUGCAGUAGAGGUAAGUGGAACUCCAUGUGUAGCGGUGGAAUGCGUAGAUAUAUGGAAGAACACCAGCGGCGAAGGCGGCUUACUGGACUGUAACUGACGUUGAGGCUCGAAAGUGUGGGUAGCAAACAGGAUUAGAUACCCUGGUAGUCCACACCGUAAACGAUGAACACUAGGUGUUAGGAGGUUUCCGCCUCUUAGUGCCGAAGCUAACGCAUUAAGUGUUCCGCCUGGGGAGUACGACCGCAAGGUUGAAACUCAAAGGAAUUGACGGGGACCCGCACAAGCGGUGGAGCAUGUGGUUUAAUUCGAAGCAACGCGAAGAACCUUACCAGGUCUUGACAUCCUUUGAAGCUUUUAGAAAUAGAAGUGUUCUCUUCGGAGACAAAGUGACAGGUGGUGCAUGGUCGUCGUCAGCUCGUGUCGUGAGAUGUUGGGUUAAGUCCCGCAACGAGCGCAACCCUUAUUGUUAGUUGCCAGCAUUCAGAUGGGCACUCUAGCGAGACUGCCGGUGACAAACCGGAGGAAGGCGGGGACGACGUCAGAUCAUCAUGCCCCUUAUGACCUGGGCUACACACGUGCUACAAUGGCGUAUACAACGAGUUGCCAACCUGCGAAGGUGAGCUAAUCUCUUAAAGUACGUCUCAGUUCGGACUGCAGUCUGCAACUCGACUGCACGAAGUCGGAAUCGCUAGUAAUCGCGGAUCAGCACGCCGCGGUGAAUACGUUCCCGGGUCUUGUACACACCGCCCGUCACACCAUGGAAGUUUGUAAUGCCCAAAGCCGGUGGCCUAACCGUAAGGAGGAACCGUCUAAGGCAGAC
Molecule: ribosomal RNA, 1143 nt
Filed under: Leuconostoc carnosum
Lineage: Bacteria; Bacillati; Bacillota; Bacilli; Lactobacillales; Lactobacillaceae
Description: bacterial SSU rRNA
Rfam family: Bacterial small subunit ribosomal RNA
Source: RNAcentral